RNAcentral lists this unclassified non-coding RNA (180 nucleotides) under uncultured Cortinarius. RNAcentral's name for it is "sequence contains ITS1". The record is from RNAcentral. Lineage: Eukaryota; Fungi; Basidiomycota; Agaricomycetes; Agaricales; Cortinariaceae.
UUGAAAUAAACCUGAUGGGUUGUUGCUGGUUCUCUAGGGAGCAUGUGCACGCCUUGUCAUCUUUAUAUCUCCACCUGUGCACCUUUUGUAGGCCCUGGAUGUUUUUCUCCAUGGUCUAUGUUGCUUCUGCAUUUACCCCAAUGUAUGUUAACAGAAUGUUUGUGCCUUAUGAAAUCUAUA